This 351-nucleotide unclassified non-coding RNA is filed under the name soil metagenome. RNAcentral describes it as "partial contains 5.8S ribosomal RNA, internal transcribed spacer 2, and large subunit ribosomal RNA". The stretch from base 1 to 120 matches the Rfam family "5.8S ribosomal RNA", at positions 35 to 154 of the family's 154-position model. The record is from RNAcentral.
GAUGAAGAACGCAGCGAAAUGCGAUAAGUAAUGUGAAUUGCAGAAUUCAGUGAAUCAUCGAAUCUUUGAACGCACAUUGCGCCCGCCAGUAUUCUGGCGGGCAUGCCUGUUCGAGCGUCAUUACAACCCUCAGGCCCCCGGGCCUGGCGUUGGGGAUCGGCGGAGCCCCCCGUGGGCACACGCCGUCCCCCAAAUACAGUGGCGGUCCCGCCGCAGCUUCCAUCGCGUAGUAGCUAACACCUCGCAACUGGAGAGCGGCGCGGCCACGCCGUAAAACACCCAACUUCUGAAUGUUGACCUCGAAUCAGGUAGGAAUACCCGCUGAACUUAAGCAUAUCAAUAAGCGGAGGA